Paramuricea clavata is the source of this 810-nucleotide non-coding RNA. The record is from the annotation of a GenBank genome assembly. Lineage: Eukaryota; Metazoa; Cnidaria; Anthozoa; Malacalcyonacea; Plexauridae.
CUCUAUAGGAAGAACAAUAUACUAUUGAUGGAGUUAUCCUGGAGCUAUCAAUAUUGAUGGAGCUAUCAGUAUAUUGUAUAUUCGGUGCACGCAUAUAAUGCGAGUGUUGUUUUGUGUCUUUUGUAUGUUAAUCCAUUGGAGAAGUUCCCCUCCCCCUCUACAGGCUACAGACAAUAGUACUUUUACUUUUACUUUGUACUUCAAGUAUUUUUUAAGGAUACUUUGUACGUAAGUACGUUUUCCUUCCAGUACUUUUUACUCUUACUCAAGUCGUUUUAUUGUUAAUUACUUCUACUUUUACUCGAGUACAAAUUCAAAGUAAUUUAGGCACCACUGUCAGGAAACUUAGCCUAAGGUAUACGUGGAAGCUGCCCAAUUUUACACUGACUGGAGGGCUAGACCCCCCCCUCGUACCCUAAUGGUGUUGGACAAUGCUUAAACGGGCUUCAACGAGUCCUAAAAAUAGGUGCGUGUGCAUCAUUAACGUUUCGAGUGUGUAUACGUACGCGCGGCCUUACAGAUCCUCAAAGAUAAACGUCAAGCAGUCAUUAAAAUAUUUCCUGCUAUACUGAAAUUGUGGGAAGAAGUAUAGUUUUGUCACGCUUUGUUACGGGUGUACAUUUCAAGCUCUAGAUUAACAAAAUAAAUGUGAAGGAGUUUGGUGAGUGUUCCAACUAUGUUUUAACUUCAAUAGAACACAUGAUAGUGUUGGGAGAGCAUUAAGAACAGCUAAGCAAGGUCGCGUGACCUCAGUCUUAUCACCUUUUUUUGUAAUCUCGUUCCAGAAACUUGGGUGUUCGAGCUUAAAAU